GCGGACGUAGUGCACGGCGCACCACUGCCUUCUAUAUUGAAGCACGGAGGGUAUGCAAGCAGUGAACGGGGUUCGACUCCCCACGUCCGCC
Mycena vulgaris is the source of this 91-nucleotide non-coding RNA. NCBI's taxonomy places the organism in Eukaryota, Fungi, Basidiomycota, Agaricomycetes, Agaricales, Mycenaceae. The record is from the annotation of a GenBank genome assembly.